AAACCGUGCUGCAGGCCUAACACAUGCAAGUCGAGCGCUCACUUCGGUGGGAGCGGCGGACGGGUUAGUAACGCGUGGGAACGUGCCCAGAUCUAAGGAAUAGCCACUGGAAACGGUGAGUAAUACCUUAUACGCCCUUCGGGGGAAAGAUUUAUCGGAUUUGGAUCGGCCCGCGUUAGAUUAGAUAGUUGGUGGGGUAAUGGCCUACCAAGUCUACGAUCUAUAGCUGGUUUUAGAGGAUGAUCAGCAACACUGGGACUGAGACACGGCCCAGACUCCUACGGGAGGCAGCAGUGGGGAAUCUUGGACAAUGGGGGCAACCCUGAUCCAGCCAUGCCGCGUGAGUGAUGAAGGCCUUAGGGUCGUAAAGCUCUUUCGCCAGGGAUGAUAAUGACAGUACCUGGUAAAGAAACCCCGGCUAACUCCGUGCCAGCAGCCGCGGUAAUACGGAGGGGGUUAGCGUUGUUCGGAAUUACUGGGCGUAAAGCGCGCGUAGGCGGAUUGGAAAGUUGGGGGUGAAAUCCCGGGGCUCAACCCCGGAACUGCCUCCAAAACUAUCAGUCUAGAGUUCGAGAGAGGUGAGUGGAAUUCCGAGUGUAGAGGUGAAAUUCGUAGAUAUUCGGAGGAACACCAGUGGCGAAGGCGGCUCACUGGCUCGAUACUGACGCUGAGGUGCGAAAGUGUGGGGAGCAAACAGGAUUAGAUACCCUGGUAGUCCACACCGUAAACGAUGAAUGCCAGUCGUCGGCAAGCAUGCUUGUCGGUGACACACCUAACGGAUUAAGCAUUCCGCCUGGGGAGUACGGUCGCAAGAUUAAAACUCAAGGAAUUGACGG
RNAcentral lists this ribosomal RNA (836 nucleotides) under uncultured bacterium. Its description in RNAcentral is "bacterial SSU rRNA". It matches the Rfam family "Bacterial small subunit ribosomal RNA", at positions 31 to 916 of the family's 1533-position model. The record is from RNAcentral.